GACGGGUGAUUAAUGCCAAGGAAAUUGCCCUGAUGUGGGGGAUAACCAUUGGAAACGAUGGCUAAUACCGCAAGAUGCGUACGGGUCAAAGAGGGGGACCUUCGGGCCUCUCGCGUCAGGAUAUGCCUAGGUGGGAUUAGCUAGUUGGUGAGGUAAGGGCUCACCAAGGCGACGAUCCCUAGCUGGUCUGAGAGGAUGAUCAGCCACAGUGGAACUGACACACGGUCCAGACUCCUACGGGAGGCAGCAGUGGGGAAUAUUGCACAAUGGGCGCAGGCCUGAUGCAGCCAUGCCGCGUGUGUGAAGAAGGCCUUCGGGUUGUAAAGCACUUUCAGUCGUGAGGAAGGUAGUGUAGUUAAUAUCUGCAUUAUUUGACGUUACCGACAGAACAAUCACCGGCUAACUCCGUGUCAGCAGCCGCGGUAAUUCUGAGGGUGCUAGCGUUAAUCAGAAUUACUGGGCGUAAAGCGCAUGCAGGUGGUUUGUUAAGUCGGAUGUGAAAGCCCGGGGCUCAACCUCCGAAUUGCAUUUGAAACUGGCAGACUAGAGUACUGUAGAGGGGGGUAGAAUUUCACGUGUAGCAGUCAAAUGCAUAGAGAUCUGAAAGAAGACUCUCCUGCCAAGGUGCCCCCCCCGCACAUAUACUGACACUGGUGAUGUAAAAGCGUGGGGGGGCCCACUCGGAUUCGAUAGUUCUGUUCAUCUACUCCGUAAAUUAUGUCCACUUCGAGGUUUUUUUCCUCCCCCCUUCGCUUUCUUAUCUCACGCGUUUUUUUAGAACGCCUUCGGGAGGAUCGUCCGCGGGGUUUUUUCUCACUUGAUUUGCCGCCGGCCCGCGCGUUCUUGUUGCAGCAAGUGUUUUAAUUACAUGCACCGCCCAUUAUUAUUACCACGCUUGACAUGCAGAAAAAUUGUCCAUUCUUUUGAUCUGUUGCCUUCAGACAAUAAUGAGA
This 953-nucleotide ribosomal RNA is filed under the name Vibrio parahaemolyticus. RNAcentral's name for it is "partial 16S ribosomal RNA". It matches the Rfam family "Bacterial small subunit ribosomal RNA", at positions 100 to 1020 of the family's 1533-position model. The record is from RNAcentral. Lineage: Bacteria; Pseudomonadati; Pseudomonadota; Gammaproteobacteria; Vibrionales; Vibrionaceae.